UAUACUCAUUCAUACACAUGACAUCUAGUCAUAUUUGACUCCAACAAUCUAACAAAGCUUCUUUUUGCUUCUCAUAGCUUUGAAGGUGUAGCCGAAGUCCGUAUGAGUCUUGGGCUUUCUAUCUUCUAACAAGGAAACACUACUUUGGCUUUCGGUUGCGGUUCUAAGUCUUAUACUUAAUCAUCCACAUGACAUCAAGUCAUUUUUGACUCCA
Molecule: small RNA, 214 nt
Filed under: Arabidopsis thaliana (thale cress)
Lineage: Eukaryota; Viridiplantae; Streptophyta; Magnoliopsida; Brassicales; Brassicaceae
Description: ATSL034220
Source: RNAcentral